UGGACGGAGCAGCUGAUGGUGAAGUUGGAGCCCUGGAGAACCUGAAACCCCUGCUGCUGGGCCCCGGAGACCCCGUCCAUGGUAGGAGACACAUAGAUGAUUGGCUGAAGCAGCAGGUCUGUAAAUACAGAGAGGUGAUUGGCUGAAGCAGCAGGUCUGUAAAUACAGAGAGGUGAUUGGCUGAAGCAGCAGGUCUGUAAAUACAGAGAGGUGUGGCACCCUGGACAUUUUAGGGGCUCAGAUUAUUUUCAGAUUAGUUGUUGUAUUAGUUUGUUAUGUUAGUGACUGGCGCUGUAAUCCUUUGCUGAAGGAAGUUAGCCCAGUCAUAGUGGACACAGUCACAGUAGAAGCAACAGGAGAGUACUGAUGCUAGACUGUCUUUUUGUUGUGUAUUUCACUACAAAUAAAACCAUCUGGCACCUGGAUGAACAUUGUCUACAUUCAGUG
Scomber scombrus (Atlantic mackerel) is the source of this 447-nucleotide long non-coding RNA. RefSeq lists it as uncharacterized. The record is from RefSeq and is a predicted model, not a curated record. Lineage: Eukaryota; Metazoa; Chordata; Actinopteri; Scombriformes; Scombridae. The transcript has 3 exons.